UUUUAAAGUCCUGUGAGUGUGUUCUUCACUCUGGCUGAGACCAUCAAACGUGACGAUCUCAGCCAAUCCAAUGCUUUCCCAUAGAAAAGCAUUGGGAGGCUAUUGUGUAUGUGUAGAAAAAAACUGCGCGGUCAAUCCGCAUCUCCAUGCAGACCCAAUCUAAUACACUGCCCCCUCCACCCAUUCUAAUACAUUGCCCCCAAAUCCAAUACACUGCCCCCCUCCCUCCACUCUUAUACUAUGCCA
This is a non-coding RNA of Pelobates cultripes (western spadefoot toad), 246 nucleotides long. NCBI's taxonomy places the organism in Eukaryota, Metazoa, Chordata, Amphibia, Anura, Pelobatidae. The record is from the annotation of a GenBank genome assembly.